CGCCCCGCCCUUGCCCAGAGUCUUCCCGGGAUUGGCUGCGGGCCUCGCGACCCUCCUGCUUCCCUCCCCGCCCCGCGCCGCCUCUCUGGUUUGUGCGCCCGUCGCAGGUCGCAGGCCUCUUUGUCAGCUGGAGUUGCGCGGUGAGUGCAUCUCCAGUCUUCGGCUUUCGGUCUCCCGCGGGGAGGGCGCCCGGCCGGCCCGUGGGUCCGAUCAGGGGCUGGGCUCGCCCGGUGUCCCCACGAGCUUUGCCCGCCUCGAGCUCCUCUGCUCCCGGCGGCCAGAACGGAGGGGUAGAGCAGCCCUCGGCGGCCCGGGGGGCGGGCGGCGGUGCCCGUCCCGGGGCUGCGCGAGGCACAGGCGCCGCGCCCAGCGGAACAGCCGGAGGUUCCCGGCGCAGGUCUGGGCACCGUAACAAUUUUGCGCUUUGCUUCCCCAGGGCUGACGCGCCACUAUGUAGCGGGUUUCGGGCGGGCCACGCGUGCGGGACAGGAACCCAACCCCAGCCGACCUUGAGCUCCAGGAGUUCGUCUCUUACGUCUGCGGAAGUGCAGCUGCCUCAGUUCUUAGCGCAGGUAUGUUCCUAGCCUUGAGCGGGGUGGGGGAAGGAAUGAGUCAGCCUGGAGCACGUGGCCAGUGGGACCGGAGGGUUCCCCGGCGUCUGUUUGUCGCCAAGGUCCGAAUCCGGCUCCCCUUAACUGGAAGGAAACAUCCAUGUAGGGGCUCACCAAACAAAACAGCUGUGUUUCUAGUGUGGUUUCAGACUUAGAGAAGCAGAGAUCCACGAGGUAUUGAGAGCAACGCGGAAAAUAGUAGUGAACCCUGU
This 823-nucleotide long non-coding RNA is filed under the name Homo sapiens (human). Its description in RNAcentral is "non-protein coding DANCR:3". The stretch from base 295 to 360 matches the Rfam family "mir-4449 microRNA precursor family". The record is from RNAcentral. Lineage: Eukaryota; Metazoa; Chordata; Mammalia; Primates; Hominidae.